RNAcentral lists this long non-coding RNA (311 nucleotides) under Carica papaya (papaya). RNAcentral's name for it is "long non-coding RNA (CPAP_LNC013761)". Lineage: Eukaryota; Viridiplantae; Streptophyta; Magnoliopsida; Brassicales; Caricaceae. The record is from RNAcentral.
UAGUACAUGUUAUAAAUCCAUCUGCAUUAUCAAUAAACCAAACAAUAACUAUCACCCUUUUCACCAGCCUGUUGGUAUAUAUGGGGGCUCAUAGGGAUGCCCUCGCUACAUGUGAACCCUUUCAUUUAUCAUUCUCAAUUAUAGGUCGUCUUCAUACCCCAUCCGGUAUAAGCGCCAAUUUACCAAACCUCAAUACCCUGUCCGGUAUGAGCGUGAAGCAGGCUGUCCCCAUACCCCGUCCGGUAUGAGCACCAAAUUAUCAAGUCUCCAUACCCCGUCUGGUAUGAGACAACGUUCACGGUAGGGUUCCC